GUUCUUUUCAACAGAUGUAAACAAAUUUGAGAAAUGAAAAUUGAGAGUUUGGGUCUGAUGAUAUAUGACAAACUAAAGGAAGUUGGUAAAAAUUUCAGUUUGCUGUAUUUUCUUUCACUAGUCACCAUGAACACAUUUCUCACAUGGCACAAUCCUUUCAUGAUAUCCACGCAAAAAUAAUACAGGUCUCAUUGAAAAUGUCAGAUGCUCAAAUUACCUAGUUGAGUGUGAAUAUCCCUUAGUCUUUUUUUUUGUGUCAUAUUGUUUGUGUCUCCAAGAAAUUCAAAGAAAAACUAACACCAAAACCAAACAACACACAUUUUAUUGUUGAGCAAAGAGUGGUUUCACUGUCCCCUUUUUUCAUCUUUCUGUUGUUUUCACUGCAGUUUUUCUAAAAGCAUCCCACUGAAUCACAGUCUGCAAAACCACAAGUUUGUCUUCUCUAGAGAAGUUCCUGAGGAAGCUGUUCUUAGAUCAGAGCACUGGCUUGCUAGCAGAGUGUGUUAUUUUGGUAUUUCUGCAGAGGUUGCAGGUAGUGGAAACUGUGCAAGGUAAAAUGCUGCAGGAGAGGUUGUUAAGCAUCACAUUUCUAUUUUUUUCUCCUCUUAAGCAUUUAAUGCCUCCACACAAGGCUUUUUGAUGUGUUGCAGGAGUUUGAUAUUUGAGCUUACAGUGUGUGUGUAUGCGCACGCGCGUGUAUGUGAUGCAGGGGUAUAUGAAGUGGAUAAUGAAGCCAUUACCAACAUUACACCCCAAUGUUUCACUGAGCUUUUUCUCUCCAUUUCUGGUCUCCCUUAUAGAAUAGGGGUUACAGAAAAAUCAGUAAGACAAUUUCAGUGUUGAGGCUAUGAAAUAAUCUUAGCACUCCUAAAUUUCAGUCUUUAGUCAUAUUGAUUAAAUCUAGUUUCUCAAGGGACCAGGACCUGGGUAGCUCACCUGCCAUACAGACAAAAUUGUAUCAGAGCAAUGCUAUGAUAACCUACAUAGCCCAUGUGACAUUGUGUCAUCCCUAGGUGACAUUUAUGAAAAUUAAGGCAAAUUAAAUUUGUCUUAUGAUUUCCUUGUGUCUGGUAGGAAACCAGUUUUUAAAAAGGUAUUCCUAGACCUUAGGAAAAUU
RNAcentral lists this long non-coding RNA (1117 nucleotides) under Heterocephalus glaber (naked mole-rat). RNAcentral describes it as "lncRNA (ENSHGLG00100040137.1)". The record is from RNAcentral. Lineage: Eukaryota; Metazoa; Chordata; Mammalia; Rodentia; Bathyergidae.